The sequence is a ribosomal RNA, 434 nucleotides long. It matches the Rfam family "Bacterial small subunit ribosomal RNA", at positions 341 to 792 of the family's 1533-position model.
ACGGAAGGCAGCAGUCGGGAAUAUUGCGCAAUGGAGGAAACUCUGACGCAGUGACGCCGCGUAUAGGAAGAAGGUUUUCGGAUUGUAAACUAUUUUAGACAGGGAAGACAAUGACAGUACCUGUAGAAUAAGCUCCGGCUAACUACGUGCCAGCAGCCGCGGUAAUACGUAGGGAGCAAGCGUUAUCCGGAUUUAUUGGGUGUAAAGGGUGCGUAGACGGGAAAUCAAGUUAGUUGUGAAAGCCCUCGGCUUAACUGAGGAACUGCAACUAAAACUAAUUUUCUUGAGUGCAGGAGAGGAAAGCGGAAUUCCUAGUGUAGCGGUGAAAUGCGUAGAUAUUAGGAGGAACACCAGUGGCGAAGGCGGCUUUCUGGACGAUAACUGACGUUGAGGCUCGAAAGCGUGGGGAGCAAACAGGAUUAGAUACCCUGGUA